UACGUAGGGGGCGAGCGUUGUCCGGAAUGACUGGGCGUAAAGGGCAUGUAGGCGUCCCGGCAAGCCCCGGUUGAAAUCCUUUUGCUUAACAGAAGGUCCGGACGGGGAACUGCCGGGAUUGAGGGCAGGAGAGGGUGACGGAAUUCUCGGUGUAGCGGUGAAAUGCGUAGAUAUCGGGAGGAACACCAGUGGCGAAAGCGGUCACCUGGCCUGCUUCUGACGUUCAAGUGCGAAAGCUGGGGGAGCGAACGGG
Molecule: ribosomal RNA, 253 nt
Filed under: uncultured bacterium
Lineage: Bacteria
Description: partial 16S ribosomal RNA
Rfam family: Bacterial small subunit ribosomal RNA
Source: RNAcentral